GGGCCGAGUUGGGCCGGGACCGUCCGCCGCGGCUCUGAUGCUGGGUCGGCCGUGCGGGCCGGGACAGGACAGUGCAGAGGAGUGGGUCCUCCGUUGCGGCCGUGUGAGGGGAACUCUGGUGGCGUCUGUGGGUCCUCCUGUCUACGGAGUCCGCAGCUCCUGUUGCAGGGCCUUGCUGCUGCCAUCUGAUGCUGCAGUCACCAGAGGACAAACCUGAUGUGGGACUUGAACCUCCAAAACUGUGAGCAGAAAAAGAAGGGGGCAUUUGGCAUGGUGGUUUUUCUGCAUUCCUGUUGAGAUCGUGUACACAACAGGACUGCCAAGUGAGAAGAAAAGGCACAGGCAGAAAAGCUGCUUUUGCAAACAGUGUGUGUGUGUGUGCGCCUGCGAACGUGUGUGUUUUAAACAACUAUUCUAGUUACUCUGACAAAUAAAACGCUUUGGU
Long non-coding RNA from Ochotona princeps (American pika), 445 nucleotides. RefSeq lists it as uncharacterized. The transcript is spliced from 3 exons. The record is from RefSeq and is a predicted model, not a curated record. NCBI's taxonomy places the organism in Eukaryota, Metazoa, Chordata, Mammalia, Lagomorpha, Ochotonidae.